Long non-coding RNA from Octodon degus (degu), 420 nucleotides. RefSeq lists it as uncharacterized. The record is from RefSeq and is a predicted model, not a curated record. The transcript is spliced from 3 exons. NCBI's taxonomy places the organism in Eukaryota, Metazoa, Chordata, Mammalia, Rodentia, Octodontidae.
UUCCAAAAUGUAGCAAAAACAGGGCCUGCAUACUUGGCAGGGAUUUAAACCAGCUCAGGUCAAUGUCUGUUUUCUGCCCAAAGAAGAGUCUGUGCAUUUGCCCCAGACCAGGAAAAUAACACCGAAAAACAUGGGGAACAACAACUAAUAGUGUGAGCUCUAAUGUCAGGCUGGCCAUGGAAUAUUGUUUGGAGCAACUCAGGAAUUACUCGGCCGGAGCUGCAGUGCGGCGUCGCAAAACCUUUGGAGGACAGUGAGCUGGAGAAUACAGAUGGCAUUGUGGGACACAGCUUUACCGAAAAGAGGAGAGGAAGGUGAAAGGCUGCCUUGAGAUGGGGAAGGAAAGCUCCAGAAUUUCCUGUUUCUAGACAAGGAGAACAGAUAAUACCUCUCUUCCUGGCAUAAAAAUAAAAAUUAAAA